CUUAAAAGAUUCGUCUAGACACUUAAUUGCAACUUAUGUAAUUAGUUUUAUAUUAAAUUGACAUCUGUACAUUCGAUUUGAUAAUCAAAUCGAUGUGACAGCUACUUGUAGAAACCAAACAUCUCCUUCUCGCAGAGCGCAGCCAUGGGGCGUGGGCAGCUCUUUGCAGCAGCGCAGGGUGGGUCGGCCCUGGCUUGCGGCGCCGUGGUCUGGUGGGAGGCGAGGUGGCUUGACGGGCGGUGUGGCAGGCCGGUCGCCGGCUCCUCCGUGUCGGCUCCUUCUCCUCCUUUUUUCUCCUCCAUGGUGACCCAGCGGGCAGGUCGGCGACGACAAGCCGGUGGUUGCAGCAGGAGGAGCGAGGCGGCCCCUGGCUCGCUGACCUGCAUGCGUAGCGGCACUGCUGCCAGCGCCCAACAGCGGCUCGGGCGGGCACUGCAGUCGCGCGGCAACGGAGGCAGCCCCUGGCCGACGGCAAGGCGGCGCGAGGAGUCUGGGCCGACCCGACGAGCUGAUCAGUCUCAUUUUCAAUGGCAGUUACUACAUAAGGCAUGUUUUGCAAAUACAAGUUACAGUUUCAUACCUUAUUGUGCAUUAUGUAGUUAGGAUAAUAAUUAUAUGAGUAUACUAAUUUUCAAUGGCAGUCAUGUCAUGCAUGUGAAGGCUCUAGUUUUAGAACCUACUGUGGACUAUGUAGUUCAGAUAAUAAUCAUAGGAGAGUAUUCAUUUUCAAUUACAGUCAUGGCAGUUAGUUGCUUGAUUUGAAAUUUUAAGCAUAGAUGACAGAUAAAUAUUGACCAAAGAAAUAAACAGUAUAUGUAGAAUGAAGAAAAGUUCUUCAGCCGUAAUAGCAACAACUGAUGAGCACUUAGUCCUUCAACAAAGUUGUUCAGCUUCCAUAAUAUGUGUAAUUAUAUAAUACCACUUUCAGUUGACAGUUCCCAACAAUUCACUUGUAUACAGGUAUGAGGCAAGAAGUAUAAAUUAUAUGAGCUUAAUCAAGAUUUUUCACUAUAAAUAUACGAGAUGAAGACAGUCACAUUCCAUUAAUUGAGAUUUGUACUGAAUCAACCAGAGCUUGAUAGAAGGGACCGAAAUCCAAUCUUGUUGAGCCGAAUAGAAAAAAAGCAGAGUAUCAUCCCUUGGUAGCGACGAAGGGGCAGCGAAUCGAACUCAAAGAUGGGAUUAAUGUUUGAUCUCGUUUAUUGGGUAGUGCAGAGCAAGGCGGCGGUGCGCGCAGGCGCGCGGGGACGUCGAACAGCUGCUCCGCUUGAGGCGGCCCGACCGCACGCUCGCACGAGCCCAGCAUGCCGUCCGGGAGAAGGACGCGCUCGACGUGCUCGCCGAGCUCGAGGCCUACUGCGGCCUCGUUGCCGAGCGGGCGACGCUCGUCGACGCGUGCACGGAGUGCCCGAGGAGCUGCGGGAGGCGGCGGCGGGGCUCCUGUGCGCCACUGAAAGGUGCGGGGGCCUGUCGGAGCUGCAGGAGGUCAGGGGCUUCCUCGCCGCCAAGUUCAGCAGUGGCUUCAUCUCCGUCGCAUCUGAGCUCCGCAGCGGCUGCGGGGUCAACCCCAAGGUGAGCCAUGAGCCCGUGAUUAGAGUCCGGCGGCUGAUGGCGUGGCAUGAGACAACAGCAGAGCUUGCUCGAUUUGAGCGUAGAAGAAGCCACAGCCGCAGUUGGCUGAUGGAGUGGUGGCCUGGUGGGAGGAGCAGCGGGGAAGGAUGGCCGCGCGCCGCGACUCGCGAGGGGAACGCCGCCGCCUGGCCCGAAGCUUCGGGAAGAUGGUCGAGGAACGCUGACCCGUGUCUGGCUGGGGAUGCGAUACCGCGACCACCCGCCACGAGCUCUCGUGGCCGUUUGUUGCUAGAUCGACGGCCGGGAUUCCGCCCGAUGACGUGGCACGACGAGAGGUGAGAGAAUUGGCCACGAAUCGUCAAGAAGAGAUGUGCUGGCGGAUCUGGCACCUUGCACGCAAGAAGAAGCAGUGGCCGUUAUAUCAAAUUUUAGUGUUCUUCCGGGCGGAGAUGCUUAUUCAAGGGGAAAGCUAAAUGUCACUCGAGCAUUUCUGGGUCUCUCCACACUUGAUUUUUCCUCCGUCCGAUCAGGCCAUCCGAUUGUCGUCGUCGUCUGAUGGUCUGACUCCUGUUGAUUUGUUUUUGUUUCUGUUUGAUGUGUGACAUGUGGGUCGUUACCUUUUGUAUAUUUCGGAUCGAUCUGUUCUGACCAGAGUCCAUCCACCAUUCCAACAUUUCCCCUUCGUUGAGCUCGUCCAGGUGCCGCGAUUUUGCUCUCCCCCUUUCUCCGAUCUCGUCCAGCCAUCAGAUUGACGGAUCAAUAUAGAGGGUUCCUUUUCAUUUGGUUCAGUGCUGAUUGGGCUCGCAUCUGAAUCUGAUAUGAUCUUUGCUUUAUGUUCCCUUCAACCAAUUAGCACCCCCAAGAUGUAUUUCCACUGAGCAUAUUUGUUUGAAAGGCACCAUCUUCUCAUCAGCAGGGAUAUCCGCAUGUUUGGCGUUGAGGAUGGCUCUCAGCAACGCCUUAGUAUAGUUUGGCAACAACAACCCGUGCCCAGUUAAACCGUUUCAGACUGGCAGUUCAAGCUCUUGAGAUAUAUAGUAUUUCUGCUUCUGCAAUGUGUCUGUUAUAUCUAUCAACUAUCAUGUGAAGUGAUACUAACACUAUGCCUUGAACUGCUACCUAUGAUAGUCGAACUAUCAUGUAGUAUUUUUGGCUGAAAAUUUGUGCAAAACUUUGUAUAUAUGCUCCUGUAAUGGCAUGAUCUACAAAGCCCAAUUGUUCAGGCAAGGCUAUAUUUUAAAGUUCAGGUUAUAUUGACACAUUUGU
Panicum virgatum (switchgrass) is the source of this 2838-nucleotide long non-coding RNA. RefSeq lists it as uncharacterized. Lineage: Eukaryota; Viridiplantae; Streptophyta; Magnoliopsida; Poales; Poaceae. The record is from RefSeq and is a predicted model, not a curated record. The transcript has 5 exons.